GAUGAACGCUGGCGGCGUGCCUAAUACAUGCAAGUCGAGCGAACGGACGAGAAGCUUGCUUUUCUGAUGUUAGCGGCGGACGGGUGAGUAACACGUGGAUAACCUACCUAUAAGACUUGGAUAACUUCGGGAAACCGGAGCUAAUACCGGAUAAUAUUUUGAACCGCAUGGUUCAAAAGUGAAAGACGGUCUUGCUGUCACUUCUAGAUGGAUCCGCGCUGCAUUAGCUAGUUGGUAAGGUAACGGCUUACCAAGGCAACGAUGCAUAGCCGACCUGAGAGGGUGAUCGGCCACACUGGAACUGAGACACGGUCCAGACUCCUACGGGAGGCAGCAGUAGGGAAUCUUCCGCAAUGGGCGAAAGCCUGACGGAGCAACGCCGCGUGAGUGAUGAAGGUCUUCGGAUCGUAAAACUCUGUUAUUAGGGAAGAACAUAUGUGUAAGUAACUGUGCACAUCUUGACGGUACCUAAUCAGAAAGCCACGGCUAACUACGUG
Molecule: ribosomal RNA, 497 nt
Filed under: uncultured bacterium
Lineage: Bacteria
Description: partial 16S ribosomal RNA
Rfam family: Bacterial small subunit ribosomal RNA
Source: RNAcentral